AUGUGAGAAAGGAACAUACCAGUUAAAAUCAUUGUUGUGGAGUUUUAGUUUUUAAAGCUAUAAAGCAAGUGAAAGGACAACAACUUAUUUUUCUUCAGGAGGUGAGAAAUGGCUUUGCUGAAGACAAAGGGGACUGGACCUGUUCAAGGAAGGAAAUAUUGAGCCCUUGGGCCCUUGGUGGGACUGUCUGAGGGCAAGAGCCAUCAUCUGUCGCUGGUGCUGAGGAGGAGGCGGAAAGGGGGAGGAAGGUAAUCCUCCAAUAAGAGAGAACUGAAUCCUCUCUGCUACGCGGACGUCAAAGGAAUUCUCCAAUUGUGUUCAACAGACCGCCACUUUUUAAAGUUACAAGAAUUCCUUGGAAACAGAGAUUGUGGCUAUCUCUGUGCUGAAAAGGUGUCUAGCCAAUGAAGAACAACUCAGUAUUUUCCUGGCUGCCUUUCUAAAGUGGUAUCAUUUGCACUGCUGCUGUAAUCUUCUGCAGUGAGAGGGCCAAUACUGGAGAUGCUGAACUGCUGAACCCCUAUAGCCACCUCAAGAGGAUCUCUUCAGACUGAACUAACUCAUUAAACAUCUUUGCCUGAUUCUCCAUCCCUGACAGGUAAGGUUACUUGGCUUUGUUUUUCUACUUUUGGACUUCGCCCUAUU
Molecule: long non-coding RNA, 645 nt
Organism: Dromaius novaehollandiae (emu)
Lineage: Eukaryota; Metazoa; Chordata; Aves; Casuariiformes; Dromaiidae
Exons: 4
Source: RefSeq, a predicted model, not a curated record